AUUGAACGCUGGCGGCAGGCUUAACACAUGCAAGUCGAGCGGGGGAAGGUAGCUUGCUACCGGACCUAGCGGCGGACGGGUGAGUAAUGCUUAGGAAUCUGCCUAUCAGUGGGGGACAACAUCUCGAAAGGGAUGCUAAUACCGCAUACGUCCUACGGGAGAAAGCAGGUGAUCUUCGGACCUUGCGCUCAUAGAUGAGCCUAAGUCGGAUUAGCUAGUUGGUGGGGUAAAGGACUACCAAGGCGACGAUCUGUAGCGGGUCUGAGAGGAUUAUCCGCCACAAGGGGACUGAGACACGGCCCAGACUCCUACGGGAGGCAGCAGUGGGGAAUAUUGGACAAUGGGGGGAACCCUGAUCCAGCCAUGCCGCGUGUGUGAAGAAGGCCUUAUGGUUGUAAAGCACUUUAAGCGAGGAGGAGGCUACUCUAGUUAAUACCUAGGGAUAGUGGACGUUACUCGCAGAAUAAGCACCGGCUAACUCUGUGCCAGCCGCCGCCGUAA
RNAcentral lists this ribosomal RNA (501 nucleotides) under uncultured bacterium. Its description in RNAcentral is "partial 16S ribosomal RNA". It matches the Rfam family "Bacterial small subunit ribosomal RNA", at positions 30 to 523 of the family's 1533-position model. The record is from RNAcentral.